This is a long non-coding RNA of Nycticebus coucang (slow loris), 448 nucleotides long. RefSeq lists it as uncharacterized. The record is from RefSeq and is a predicted model, not a curated record. The transcript has 4 exons. NCBI's taxonomy places the organism in Eukaryota, Metazoa, Chordata, Mammalia, Primates, Lorisidae.
CAGAGGUAUUAGCUGCCAGCCAGACUUCAGACCCUGCUUGUCAGAGCCAAGUGGCACCAUUUCUUUAGCCUGCAAAUGGAGCGUGAGAUGAUGAGGGCACUGAACUUGUGUCCCAACCGUGGCUCUGGAUCUUGGAUGUUAAGUCUGGCUCCUGCCUCCACUUGAGGUUAAAACAGCUCAAAGUGCGUUCUUAGAAGAAUGUAAAGAUCUGUUUGUUCUUUCACAUCCAUGCCUGAUGUCAAUGUGAGAACAAAGAAGACAAUGUUCUCUGUCCUGAAAGCCGACUGGAAGGAUAACAGGCCUACCCUGGAGCACCUGGCUGCCUGGGUUUAGACAAGAUGAUGUCUGCAGAGGCCGGAGCCGUGUGGGGCAGUCACUGGUAAAGACUUCUAGAGCAGGGGGCUUGCUGGUGGGUGAGAGGCCUUUGUUUCAAUGGUAACUUGCAUUG